Molecule: long non-coding RNA, 327 nt
Filed under: Ananas comosus (pineapple)
Lineage: Eukaryota; Viridiplantae; Streptophyta; Magnoliopsida; Poales; Bromeliaceae
Description: long non-coding RNA (ACOM_LNC007595)
Source: RNAcentral
CGGAUUUACAAUUUGGAGAGAGAGAGAGACAUAAAUAAUAAAAAGAAGAGAAAAUCUCAUUUUUGUUUAAAUAUCGAAAUAAGUUAUCCAGUAAUAAUUUAUUCUAUAUAAAAAUAUUCUAAUAUGAUUGUAAGUAAGAAAUUUGAUUUUUAUUAUCCAUAAUUUGAUAGAAUAACAUAUUUCACCUGAGAGGUAAUUUAUCUUACCCCUAAAAAUAAUUAAAAGAUCGAAUAUAAUAUCCAAUUUUAAAUAUUUGAUCCUACACCUUAUCAAUCAAAUAUAAAAAAAUUUUAAAUAAAUUAAAGAGAUAUACUGAAUAACUUAGUU